RNAcentral lists this long non-coding RNA (18487 nucleotides) under Medicago truncatula (barrel medic). RNAcentral's name for it is "long non-coding RNA (MTRU_LNC002004)". The stretch from base 11575 to 11656 matches the Rfam family "tRNA". Lineage: Eukaryota; Viridiplantae; Streptophyta; Magnoliopsida; Fabales; Fabaceae. The record is from RNAcentral.
GCUUCCACUUGCUACCAAAUGAGAUGUGCUCAAGUGCAGCCUCAUAUUUCUUCAUGAUUUAAUUGGUGUACUUCAUAAUUUUGUAAACAUGCUUCAGACAUGUUUUCUUCAUUAUGAUAAUGCCGAUGUGAAGCUGGUAAGUGACUAUAAGGCCAUGGAUAACAAUAGAUCAACUCAAACCAUUCUACAUGUCUGUGGUUCUACUUUCAAGUCUAUCUAUCAUAUGAUGCUUCUACUCAAGAAUUAUGCAUUAUCUAUCUACUACACCAUUUGAAGUAUAUCCAUUCAUUUAGAGACAACACCAUGUGAUCUUUCAUAUGCUCUUGUCUGGCCAUGACUCAUAUCUCAUGGCCCUCCUUCAUUGAUCAUUGUAGUUGCUGACGGAUUCAUUAUUUAUCCUUCAUCUAUAUAUAUUAAUGGCUGCAAAGGCAUUUAGGACCAACAAAAAACCAUUCACAUCCCAAGGCAUUUGAAAUUCAGAAACUUGAGUCUUCUAUAUACAACUCUUUCUUUUUUAGACCAAGCUUCUCUUUUAAACACAUACAUACAACAAUGGGUUUUCGUUUACCAAGUCUCAUCAGAUCAAGAGUAUCAUCUUCAAAAGCUGUGGACGUUCCAAAGGGAUAUCUAGCAGUGUACGUAGGAGAGAAAAUGAAGCGGUUUGUGAUCCCUAUAUCAUAUUUGAAGCAAACAUCAUUACAAGAACUGUUGAGCCAAGCUGAAGAACAAUUUGAAUAUGAACAUCCAAUGGGUGGUCUAACUAUUCCUUGCAGAGAAGAAAUUUUCUUAGAUAUCACCUCUCACUUCAAUUGAAUUAGCUCUUUGAAGAUAUCAUAGGACUGACGUAGAUAUCUGACCCAUUUUUGUAGCACUUUAGUUUCAUACCUUCAAAAGAUUUUCACUUUUGUUGUAAUUUGGAUGUAAAAUGUUGAUCUAAAUGAGAAAUUUAUUAACACCAUUUUCAUAUUUCUCUAUUUCUUCCCUUUAAAUAUCAACAUGAAAAUCGAUUGUUAAAUGUUCAGUUUAGAAUCAAUAUUUGAUAAAAUGAAGAAAUUCAUUACUUCAAUUACAAAGUUGACUUCCCCUGUUGCAAAAGUAUAUAAUGUUAAAAGUAAGUUUUAUAAUUUAGUGAUCAUAAGUGAAGUAUGUGUUGCGGAAAAAAAAUCCGCAGAGAAAAAUAUUGAGUCAUUGAUCCUGUUGAUUUGUAAAAAAAAAUGGUUUAUUUGCAUAUACUCAUUGUCCAAGUUAAGCUUAUACAUUGAUAUCACCGACAAUAUCAAACAGUUAGCAAUCCUCUAGACUAUCUAGUGAAUCAAUGGUUUAUAGAGUGCAUGGCCACUACUGAUAAAUAUUCGACUGAAAUAAUAAAAGCUUAAGAUUUUCUGUUUUGAGAAAAUUUGAAGAGUGAAAGACUAAAGCUGAAGAGCGAUGAAGACAAAGCUGAGAUACAAAGACUCAAUAUAAAUCUGCGAUGAAGGGAAUCAAAAUUAAUCCUUCAUGCAAUGUUUUUGCUCAAUUUAGAAAUAAGGUUAGUGACAGAGAACAAGUUCUGCUCAUCAUUUUUGUUUGAUUCUGCCAAUUUGAUAUUCAUUGAGGAAGACAUGCACACAGUGAUAAGAUUAUAAGAUGAAGAAUCAAAUGUUGAUUCCAAUUUAUUUAUAAUCAUAAAAUGUUCUAGGCCUUAGUUACCACUUCAGUAACUCCUUGUUCAUGUUGACUGUUGCCAUAUGAAUAUCUUUAUUGAAGAUUAAAUUAGGAACAUUUGAUACAAAGUGGGGUUUGCAAACUGAAUACGAACACAUUAGAUGAAUCAAGUUAAACAGGAAAUGGAGUUACAAUUUUUGUUCAAACGACAUAAUGAUCUUUCACUUCUAAUAUCAAAUAUAACACACAUUUUACUUCUGCCUUGAGAAACUACAAGGCAUAUCAGUUACAAAGGGGGGAAAAAUAACUAGCUCACAUUCCAUGUGGUUCUUUUAAUGCUGCGACAAGUCUGUUAUUUUUUUUAAACUCAUUGUGACCACGUCGAUGUCUAUAAAAGUUUUCCUAACCUUUACAUGCAUGAUAAUUUAAUUUUUCCAGCUCAUAAUAGUAUGGUUCAAGAUUUGAGGUAAACAUUAUGAAAUUUGUGCAGCAAUAAAAUUAGGUCAGUGAUUAAUGGAAUCAUUAUUUACACUUGAACAGAAGGCAAUCAGGCAACAAGCUGCGCCGCUAGACUUGGUUUAAUAGCCAAAGAUUAAUUCUAAUCUUAGAAAUUCAAAUCAAAAACCAUUUGAAGCAGGCAGCCCAUAUUUGUGAACUCUAUAAAAUGUAAUGCAUGAAGAAAGAAUCAAAAACUAUAUCUAUCUAAUAUAUGAGAAUAGCAUUUCAAUUCCUCCUGAUAUAAAUAUAAUCGACCAUUAAUUAACAAAGAACAAUAAAGUCACAAAUAAUUAGAACAAUCAUAAAAUAAAUUAUAAACAGAAAUUAACAUAAAAUUGAUUGAGUCAUUAACAUAAAAUUGAUCGAAUCUAAAGUUUAAGUCACAUAGCACCACAUCUACAUCCUUACAUUAGAAACAAGGUGAUACCAAACUCUCAACGUAGACUUCAGGGAUAUUCCAACCAUUGAUGUUUUCAAUCAUUUUUCGUUUGGUCAACUGUGUGGUGUGCUUCCCUCCACUGCAUUUUUCGUUUGGUUUUUAAUUUACUGAAUCUAGGUAAGAAUAAAUACUCUUCCUUUCAUGAAUUUUGUGGGCAAUAUGUUUUUAUGGGCAAUAUGGCGACAACAAGUUAAAACGAUAUACAUGACUUUAAGAUUAAUAGUUUUUAUGCUGAACAAUUGAUUUUUAUUUUUGUAGGAUGAAUUGGGAAAUGAUUAUGAAGAAGCUGUUAGUGUGGAGUGGGUUGAUAAGUGUUUAAGCCUUACUUUCAAGUGUCCAUGUGGCAAGGGAUAUGAGGUUCUAAUCUGUGCAAACAAUUGUUACUACAAGUUGGUCUAGAAGAAUCAGUAUGCUUAUUUGUGACAUGGAUCACUUUUGUUUAUAUUCUGUUUUAGUUUGGAAAAAGCUUGUCUGUUUUCAUUUGUAGUAGCACUUGGUUGUCACUAGAAGAACCAAUCUAUAUUUGUAGAUCCUUACAUUUAUUCAUCGGCUGGUUUGACUUCGAUUAUCUUGCAGUCUUGUUUAACUGUUAAACUAUGUAUGAACCAAGAUUGAUUUGGCCGAUUUUUAAGUUACAAAACUGGAUUAGCAUUUAUGUCAAUAAUGAAAUUCUUAGUCACAGAUUUUGGGUUUGCAAUGUUAUUAUUGAGACAGCUUACUACCUUAGCAAGUACAAAACCUAAAUUUACAUGUGUCAACAUAAAACCUCCGCAAAACAUGCUAUGAUGAGCUUCAAAGAAACAAGAACAACAAGCCCUUAGCAACAGAAAAAACAUGCCAUAUUGCUUUCAAUUCAAUUCUUUGCUAAAUUAAUUCUGCCUGCAUAUACCGAAGCAAGUAAGUCAGAAAAAAGAGAGACAAGCAAAUAAGUCAGAUCCCAAAUUACAUUGAUAAAUAAUACCAUAAUAAUGAAACUCAGAACCACUAUGUGACCAUGGAGGUAUGUGAGUACAGACAAGUGUUUCAAAUAAAGGAAUAGGUAGCACAUGAGUACUAACAUCUUUUGCAGAAUCAUAUGUAGCUGGUGUCACAAGUAUCCUCAAAGAAAGUAACAUGUGCAGAGAUAUAAAAAGGAUGUGUAGAUGGAAAAUAACAUUGAUACCCCCUUUGAACUCUGGACUACCCCGAAAACACGCACUCGCUUGAUAGACCGUGCAUACAAUCUUUCGCGGCCAGGUGGUAGAUCAUGAACAAAAUAUGUGGAUCCAAACACUCGAAUAGGAACAAAAUACAGGAGGUCCUUAUGAAACAAGAGAAAUGUCGAAUCACAUUAUCCAAUAUUGAAAAUGACUUGUAGUUGAUCUAACAACAGACGAUGAGAAGUGCAAUACCUCAAAUUUUGAAAGAUGCAUGAGCACUGAUCAAUAAGGUACGAGCUGUAUCGAAUACGAUAUUUCUGCUCAGCAACACUAUUUUGUUGUCGUGUGUGCAGACAACUAGACUUAUGAUUUGUGCCCUGAAAGGUCAAGAGGAGUUUCAUUGUGAAGAAAAGAAUUCUUUGGCAUUGUAACUAACACUUAUAAGAGAAGGUAAUCAAAAGCCCAUUUUAUGUGCUUAUUAGGUAAAAGAAGAACAGAGCAAAGAUAUAAAUAUAUUAAGAAGGAUUUAACUAGCACUUGAGGUUGCCAAUGACUAAUGUUGUUUCUGAAGGAAAUAGCAAGUAUAUUUAUAGUUAUUGAGGUUCUCUGAAAAUCCAAUUCCAAGCUAAAUUAUUAUUUGAAAUUGUUAACGAUUAAAUAGCAUAAGAUAAUAUAGCAUUUGGUGUUGUCUUAAGAUUGUACCCCACCUUCUCAAAAAAUGGGAAAUACAAAGCAUCUACUUGCAACCAAUUGAGACUUUCUCAAGUGCAGAGCAGCUUCAUAUCUGUUCAUGCAUUAAUUACUAUUUCAUAACUGUGAAAACAUGCUAAGACAUGUUUUAUUUCAUUAUGAUAGUGUUGAUGUCAACAUAAACCACUCUACAUGUUUGUGGUUAUACUUUCAAGUUCAUUAACUCUAUGCUGGCCUCUGCUCAACAAGGUGGGACUUGCAUUAUCUAUCUACCACAAGAUUUGAUGUUGAUCCUUGAGAAAGUCCUCUAAAUUCUAAAGACAACACCAUGUGAUGUUUCAUAUGCUCUUGUCUGAACAUGACUCAAAUAUUAUGGCCCUCAUUCACUGAUCAUUAUAGUUGCCGAUGGUUUGCUAAGUAUCCUUUCAUCUAUAUAUAUUCAUGGCUGCAAGCCUUUAGCAUCAACACAAAUCAUUCACAUUCCAACUCCCAUUUGAAGUUCAAAAACUAGUCUUUUCUAUAUACAAGUCUGUCUAUUUUAGACCAAUCUUUUCUUUUUAACACAUACAAUACAACAAUGGGUUUUCGUUUACCAAGUAUCAUCAAAAGGGCAUCAUCUUCAAAAUCUGUGGGUGUUCCAAAGGGAUAUCUAGCUGUGUACGUAGGAGAGGAGAUGAAGAGAUUUGUGAUCCCUAUAUCAUAUUUGAAGCAAAAAUCAUUCCAAGAAUUGCUGAGCCAAAGUGAGGAACAAUUUGAAUAUGAUCAUCCAAUGGGUGGUCUCACCAUUCCUUGCGGAGAAGACGUUUUCUUAGACAUCACUUCUCGCUUGAAUUGAAGAUAUCAAAAGACUGACAUAGAUAUUUGACCAAUUUUUGUAGCACUUUAGUUUCUAACCUUCAAAAGAUUUUCACUUUUGUUGUUAUCAUACUUGGAUGUAAAACGUUCAUCUGAAUGAGAAAUUUUUGAACACUAUUACAUUAUUUCUCUAUUCCUUCCCCUUAAUUAUAAAUAUGAAAAUCGAUUGCUAAAUGUUCAAUUUAUUAUCUCUCUGAUAAAAUGAAAAAUUCAUUUACUUCAUAUAUAAAAUUGAAUUGCCCCUGUUAGAAAAAUAAAGAAAUAAGAAACUGAUAUAAUUUAGUGGUCAUAAAUUAAGUAUAUAUUGUUAAAAGAAUCUUCAAGAAUAACACUGAAUAUAACUAUAUUGAUUUAUUUGUAGUUUUAUUUUGAGUCAUAGAUCCUGUUGUUGUUUUGCAAACAAAAAUGGUUUAUUUGCAUUUAGUUGGUGGCCAAGUUGAUCUUAGGCAUGGAUGUCACCUACAAUUUUAGACAGUUGCCAAUUAUCUAGUUUUUCUAAUUAUUUUGAAGGAGAAAAUUUAAAAAACUCCUAACUUAUACUAUGUUUUUAUAUCAAAUUGAUAUUUGUUGAGUAUAUAUUAUCGACCAGUAAAAAAAACGUACAUAUUAUCUAUAACAGAUUCCUGUUCCCUACAGAAAUAUACAACUGAAACAACACAAUACUGCGAUUUUUUGUUUUGAGGAAACUAGAAGAGUUAAAGACUUAAGACCUAAGAUCUAGCAGGGAAAUUUGAAAUUUGAAUCAAUUUCUACCCCUGGAUUUGAAAUAAUUAUUUAGCUUGUGAAUUUGAAGAAUGUAACCAAAUUAAGUGAGAGAGCUUAUGAAUAAAAUUGAAGUAGGUGCUAAUUUGUACUUAGCAGAUAAGGCAAUAGUUAUGAUAAUCAUAUCCAAAUUUUUUCUUUUUUUGAAUAUAUGUGAAAUAUUUAACCAAACACCUCUUAAUAUAUAAUCAUCAAUGGAAGAAAAGACAUUUUUUGAAGACAAAGACCAAACCUAAUUAAUUUCGUUAAAUUAUCAAUGGUUAAUGAUUUAUUGCAAGAAUUCUACUAAUUUACCUGGAAUUAGCAAAACAGGUAUUGUUGCAUAGAAAGGGUUAACAGGAUUUUACAGAAAUAAAAAUAACAGAUUGUCUUUUUUCAACUAUAGCUUGAGGUAUGCUUUAUUUUUUAAAUCAGCAAAAUUAUUUAUUCUUCAUAUGCAGGCUUAUAUUUAAAUAACUAACUGUAGCUAGUGAAAGUUAACUGAUAAAGUAAAUGAACUCGAUCAUUAAACAUUAAAGAAGAGGACAUAUAUUUUUGAAUUUGACAUUCUUACGGUAAAAUUUGUCCAUUUCUCAUGAAAAGAGUCAUAUAUUUACAACUUCACAAGUCAAAUAAAUUCCUAUUUGAAAAAUGUCUCAACUAAUCUAGUGUAUGUCAGUAUGUUACAAUAUAAGAUUCAUAGCCCAUUCAAGCAAGAAGUUAUAUGUUGGAAGACAUCUUCGGAGCAAGGAAUGGUGAGGCCACCCAUGGGAUGAUCAUAUCCAAACUCUUCCUCGGCUUGACUCAACAAGUCUUGAAAUGAAGGUUGAUUCAAGUAUGAUACAGGAACUACAAACCGCGCCAAUUUCUCUCCAACAUACACGGCAACAUAGCCCUUUUUCACUUCUACUGAUUUUGAUGUUGUUUGUCUAGCUGUUACCGAUCCUCUUAGAAUAGAGUUUAAACGGAAACCCAUUUUUUGUUAUUGUUUGAGAGAAAAACAAAUAAAAAAUCUCAAAUGUAACUAAAUAUUUGAUGAUGCCAAUCAGUUGUGCUGUUUAUGAAGGAGAGAGGAAGUGUAUUUAUAGAUUUUGAAGUUCUCUCAAAACCAAAUUUCAAGAGAAACUAUUAUUGAAGGGUUUGAUGGAUAGAGAGCACAGGGAUAAGGUAGCAUGGGGUGUUGUCUUAGAGUGUACCCUACCUUUCCUAAACAAUGUCCAAUACAAAGCUUCCACUUGCUAAAAAAUAAGAUGUGAUCAAGUAUAGCCUCAUAUUUGUUCAUGAUUUAAUUAGCGUCAAUAAUUUUGUAAGCAUGCUUCAGACAUGUUUUCUUCAUUAUGAUAAUGCCGAUGUGAAGCUGGUAUGUGACUCUAAGGACAUGGAUAACAAUAGAUCAACAUAAACCAUUCUACAUGUCUGUGGUUGUACUUUCAAGUCUAUCAAUUAUAUGAUGCUUCUGCUCAAGAAUUAUGCAUUAUCUAUCUACUACACCAUUUGAAGUAUAUCCAUUCAUUUCGAGACAACACCAUGUGAUCUUUCAUAUGCUCUUGUCUGGCCAUGGCUAAAUUCUAAUGGUCCUCCUUAAUUGAUCAUUGUAGUUGCCGACUGUUUGUUAAAUAUCCUUUCAUCUAUAUAUAUUAUUGACUGCAAAAGCAUUUAGCACCAACAAAAAAUAAUUCACAUCCCAAGGCAUUUGAAAUUCAGAAACUUGAGUCUUCUAUAUACAACUGUUUCUUUUUUAGAUCAAUAUCUUCUUUUCAACACAUACAUACAACAAUGGGUUUCCGUUUACCUAGUAUCAUCAAAAGGACAUCAUCUUCAAAAACCGUGGACGUUCCAAAGGGAUAUCUAGCAGUGUAUGUUGGUGAGAAAAUGAAGCGGUUUGUGAUUCCUGUAUCAUACUUGAACCAAACCUCAUUCCAAGAACUGCUGAGCCAAAGUGAGGAACAAUUUGAAUAUGAUCAUCCAAUGGGUGGUCUAACUAUUCCUUGCAGAGAAGACAUUUUCUUGGAUAUUACCUCUCACUUAAAUUGAAUUAGCUCUUUGAAGAUAUCAUAGGACUGACGUAGAUAUUUUACUCAUUUUUUUGUAGAUGUUGUUAUCAUACUUGUUGUAAAAAUGUUCAUCUCAAUGAGAAAUUUAUUUGCAUUAUUUUCUCUAUAUUUCUCGAUAUAUAAAUCUGUAAAUCAAAACAUCUUUAAACGAUAUAUUGGAAGAUUCAGUUAUUUAAAUAUAAAACCAACCCCCCCUUUUACAAAAAGAAAAUUAAAGUUAAAAGUAACUAUCAUGAUUUAACAAUUAUUGGAUAAUUAUUUAUAUAACCAAAAAAAAUGUUGGAUAUUAAUUUAUAUAACAAAAAAAAAAUUGGACAAUAAUAUAUAUAACAAGAAAAAAAAUUAAAAUUAAAGUUAAAAGUAACUCUGCAGAGAAGCCCAUAGUUAUUCGAUAAUAAUUUAUAUAACAAAAAAAAAUUGUUAAACAACAAGUCGCUUUGGCCGAGUGGGUAAGGCGUGUGCCUGCUAAUUACAUGGGGUUUCCCCGCAAGAUUUCGAAUCUCUCAGGUGACGGAUUUUUAUUUUUUUCAUAACAAAAUUGAUAGGAAUUUUUUUUAAUUAUCUAGUCUUCUAUAUGUGGAUUUUAAUAAUGACAUUAAUUUUUCUAGUAUCAGAGAAAUAAAUGUAAUACAUGAACUCGAUCGAAUAAUCUGACAGAGUGAAUAACUUAGUUGCUUCAUGUUAAAAAUAAAUAGAAAAACUUGAAUUUAUUAAAUACAAGUUUCAUCUAUCUCUUGGUAUAUAUUUUUUUCCGUCGGGAAUACAAAUCAAGAAAAUCAAUCCUAUAUAGUAUGUGCGGGAAGAAACUAAAUGAAUCAUAACAGGGGAGAGACAGAGCAUUGUGAUUCAAAGAAAAAUAAUUUAUAUAGUAUGAGAGACAGAGCGUUGUGAUUCAAAGAAACUAAGCGAAUCAUAACAGGGGAGAAACUUACUUUUAUGUGAAUGUGUUGUGAUUUAUGUAGUCUGAAUUGAUGCACUUGGUUCUUGAAGUUCAGGCUUCCAACUGCUUCUAUUUGACUACCUCUAUUAACAUUGAUGUGAUAAUUAAGUUUUAUAGGCUUUGAGUUUCUUAUAUAUUAUGUUAGUGUUUCUUUUGCUACUUCAUUUUUGAUGUUCAAAUUAACAAUACAAAUGUACAAUUGAGUCAAAACUACUAUUGUAUAGAUCUAACCGAGUUCAUUUGCUAUUUUUCUGUUUCGGAAUGUGUGGAAAAAAACUAGUAGUGAAAAACUUUCAUAAGUCCUACCAGCCAGUCAGUUUGAAUCUACUUCUAAUUACUGAAAGGAUUUGGAAUUUUUCUAAAGUUUAAAGGUGUCUACCAAUAAACUGUCUGACGGAGCUUCGAGAAAAAAUUGAAGUCUAGGUGCUAAUUUCUAUUUAGGCGAUAAGAUUAGUUAAAAUAAUCAUGUUCAACUUUAAGUUUUUGAGUAUUUGUAAAAAAUUUAACCAAACAAGCUCUUAUUAUAGAAUAAAUAGGCGCAAAGCCGAUUUCGGAGGACAGGCCAAGCCAUGUUUAUUUAGCUAAAUCAUCAAUAGUUAUUGAUUUAGUCCAAGAAUUUUAGCUAGCUGGCUGGAAUUAGCAAAACUGGUUUAGUUAAUCUGGAUUCUAACAGUGACAUUAAUUUUUCUAGCAUAGGAGAAAUAAAAGUAACGGAUCAUAUCAUUUGAAAAGACAUAAACAUAAAAGAAUAAACUAUAGCUUGUGAUAGGCAUUAAUUUUUAAAUAAGCAUGAAAAGUGAAGUUAUAACUGAUAAAAUAACUGAGCUCACUGUCAAUAAAUAAGGAAAAAGAGGACAGUAUAUUUUUGAAUUUGAUAUUCAGAUGGUAAUAUUUCUCCAUUUCUCAUGAAAAGUGUCAUAAAUUUACAACUUCACAAGUCGAAUAAAUGCCUAUUUGAAAAAUGUCUCAGCUAAUCUAGCGUAUAUCAGUAUGUUACAGUGUAAGAAUCAUAGCCCAUUCAAGCAAGAAGUUAUAUGUUGGAACACAUCUUCGGAGCAAGGAAUGGUGAGGCCACCCAUGGGAUGAUCAUAUCCAAAUUCUUCUUCCGCUUGAUGUAGCAAUUCUUGAAACAAUGGUUGGUUCAAGUAUGAUAUUGGGACAACAAACCGCUUCUGUUUCUCUCCAACAUACACUGCAACAUAGCCCUUUGGAACUUCUGCUGAUUUUAGAGCUGCUUGGCUAGCUGUGAAUGAUGCCCGUCGAAUAACAUUUAAACGGAAACCCAUUUUUGGUGAUUGUUUGAGAGAGAAGAACAAACUCAACAAAGUAAAUAUCUCAAAAAAUUUAGAAGAAUGUAACUAAUACUUGAGGAUGUCAACGACUUGUGUUGUGUUUGAAGCCAAUUUGUAAGUAUAUUUAUAGUUACUGAGAUUCUUUGCAAACCUAAUUCCAAGCUAAAUUAUUUCUUGAAAGAGUUAAAGGAUAAGAUGAUAUACCAUGUGGUGUUGUCUAAACAUUGUACCACCACCCUUUCAAGUUCAACCUCAUAUUUUAUCAUCUAUUAACUAUCACUUCAUAAUUGUGUAAACAUGUUUCAGACAUGUUUUCUUCAUUAUCAUGGUGCUGAUGUCCAGCUAGUAUCGACUAACGAAUAGAUAGACUAAUCUGCAUUAUUUGAAGGGGGUGCAUUAUCUACCAUGAAAUUAAUUUGAUGUUGACCCAUGUGUAAGUCCUCCAAAACAAUACCAUGUGAUCAUUCAUAUGGACUUGUCUCCCAUAGUUCUCAUGACUUGCAUCCAUCUCAUGGCUCUCCUUCAAGUUGCCGACUAUUUGUUACAUAUCCUUUCAUCGUCUAUAUAUACGAUCAUUUAGGACCAAUACAAAACCAUUCACAACCAAAACCAUUUGAAAGUCAGAAACUUGAGCCUUCUGUUUACAAACAAUUCUCCUUUUUAGAAUAAGCUUCUGAUCUUUUCAACACAUACAUACAACAAUGGGUUUUCGUUUACCAAGUAUCAUCAGAUCAAGGGCAUCAUCUUCAAAAGGUUUGGACGUGCCAAAAGGCUAUCUAGCAGUAUACGUAGGAGAGAAAAUGAAGCGUUUUGUGAUUCCUGUAUCAUACUUGAACCAAACAUCAUUCCAAAAGUUGUUGAACCAAGCUGAGGAACAAUUUGAAUAUGAUCAUCCAAUGGGUGGUCUCACCAUUCCUUGCAGAGAAGACAUUUUCUUAGAUAUUAAUUCUCACUUGAAUUGAAUUACCUUUUUGAAGAUAUCAUAGGACUGACGUAGUUAUUUGAUCCAUUUUUUGUAGUAGUUUAGUUUCUCACGUUCAAAAUAUUUAAUCUUUUGUUGUUAUCAUACUUGGUUGUAAAAAUGUUCAUCUCAAUGAGAAAUUUAUUAACAUUAUUUUCUCUAUAUUUCUUCAUAAUAAUGAAAGAUUAAGUUAUUCAAAUAUAAAAUCAAUCCUCCAUUUUGCAAGAAAAAAAAAUAAAGUUAAAAGUAACUAUCAUGAUUAAUGAUCAUAGAUUGUAUAUAUUGCAAAAAAAAAUCUGCAGAGAAGCAUUUAAGUAACAAGUUGCUUUGGCCGAGUGGUUAAGGCGUGUGCCUGCUAAGUACAUGGGGUUUCCCCGUGAGAGUUCGAAUCUCUCAGGCAACGAAUUGUUUUUUUUAAUAACAACCAUUGAGUUAAAAAUAGUUAACUCUACAUUUUUUGUUUCAAAUAAAAAAAUUAUAAUCAAAUUCUUCAAUGACAAAGUUGUUUUUCUUUUGCUUUGAUAUGACUAGUUACAGUUUUGCUCUCAAAAGAGAAAGACUAAUUUCAAUUUUGCUGUAAAAACAAAGUGCAAGUUCCAUUUAUGAACAUGGGACUCUCCACAUCUUUUACCAUCUCCUACUUUUUUUUUCUUUGUAUAAAUCGAGUAUCUCAGCUGUCGAGUCUAAUAUAAUCACAUACAACAAAAAUCUCCUCAAAAUUUUAAUGUUGUUGCGUACACAUAGUUCGAAGUCAAAACCUCAAUAUAGACAAGAAGAAAAUUUUGAUAUCUUAUCUAAGUAAUCAUGGUAUGUCAUCCAAUCACUCUUGAAUUAUAGUCUCGCACUUUACUUUUUCCUAACUCUAAAAGCUGCAGAACAUCCCUAUUUAAUGUGUGCUAGUAACUGAGCCAUUCGACAAGGUUGCCACUGAAACAUGACUCGUGCUACCAGAGAUUGAAUUUUUUCUAUCUAUGAUCCAUCAUUGGAUGAUUUACUCAAUUAUAUCAAUAUUAAUAUAUAAACCUAUCUUUUUGCAUGAAUCUGACACUUUAGAAUUCAUGUUUAAAUUCUUAUGGUAUAAUUAUAUCAAUUUUUUCAUGUUUAAAUUCAUGGAUCAUAGAUAACUUAAUGAAUUUACUUGUAACGAUCCAUCUAUAUAGAUCUUCAUGUUUUUUAUUUACUCCACUUUAAUAUAUAUUGACUUUUCAUUAUAGUAUGACUUUUCAAUGCAAAGUACAAAAAGGCACUACAAAGGAAAAUAACUUUGAAAAGCAUAUGCAAAGGGCAUUAAGAGUUUAUAACAUAUAUUCAUUGAACAUUGGCCUAAAGCCUAAAAAAAGUUACAAUCUUUGUCCAUAUUAAAAAACACAUGACAUGACGGUUAUUGUAUUUAUGCAGCUUGUUUUUGGCAGACUGUUUUGUAUGAAUGUUCCGAGUUGUGAAGUGGUAAAAAUCAAUUUAGAACCACUGAUGUGGACAGAAGGGGCAAAAAUUGUCAUGACCAGCCAGAAAUCCAUUUUGGUUUGUAUCUCUCAAAUACAAAUUAUGUAAAACUUCUUUUCCUUUAAACAUUUUGAUUAGAUUUUAAGGACAGAAAAAAAAAACAUUGGAUUAAAAUGCAUAUAUAAUAAUAAAAAAUAUUAAUUCUACGAUACUACAUAGAGAUUGGUACAGUGAGAAUUAGUUAUCAUGGGUUCGAUCCUCGGCGCUCGAAGUCUCUAACUCUAUAUCCUACCUACAAAAAUCAGUUACCCUUGAAAACCUCACAAAUCAUCAUAUACCAUCUCUCCUAUAUAUAUACUCAAACCAUACCUCUUUUUUCAUAACUCUUUGCCACUCACACUUACUUUACAACCAAAGCUCAAAUUCAAAUCUAAAAACAAAAAACAAAACAAUUCAGAAGAAUGGGUGAUUUACAGAUUCAACAAGAAUCCAUGUUGAUCCCUCACAAACAGAAACAAUCCAUGAUUAUUCCAACAUCAUCAAUGCCUCAUCAUCACACUCACAACAACACUGUCAAACGCCGUUCACCAUCAUCAUCAUCUUAUCACCAACCAUCAUCCAAGAAGCAUUCUUUUGACGCAAGCAAUCUCACCCGUAAUGGCUUCUCUGCCAUUACAAUUCCUUUCAGUCUCCGCGGGAAUGCUCUUAGCCGCUGUGUCUCUGAUCCAUGCACCUUUCCGGAUCAAUCCAUGCCAGUAAAAGGGCCGUCAACUGCUUUGCAGCCUCUGCCUCCGAUCAGCAGAUGUAUAUCUGAAGUUAUCGAUCCUACUGAGGUUAAAGAAGCAGUAGCUCGUUAUUUGAACUGUGCUGAAAAAACCACCCCUGAAUCUGAUUCAAUGGUAUGUGUUGAAACUUGUGUUUCUUGCUAAAAAAGUAAUCUUUUUUUUAAUUUGGAAUAAUGGGUUUUGUUUGUUUUUUGUAGAGGCUUAAAAGGAUGAAGGAUCGGUUAAAAGAAAUGAAGAAAGUGUGGGAUGAAGUUAUGGAAGUCGAGGAAGAAAAUGAAAAAGACCAAGAAGAAGAGCCCUCUCCUGAUGCUGAAGAUGAAAAAGAACAAGAACAAGAACAAGAAGAGCACUCUCUUGACUCUUUUGUUGCUGAAGAUGAAAAAGUCAUAUCUCAGGUACAUAUCUUGAAUCUUUAACGGUGAUUGUGUUUUCUAUUGUAAUCUUCAAUGUAUUUGGUUCUUUAAUUGGUACUUAUAAGUUAUGCUCAUAAAUUUAUAAGUUUUUUCUUGUUUUUAUGUAUAUCGUAGUCACACUUGUUUAAUUACGUAGAAUCCGGGGGUUAUGGGAAGGUAUUGAAUUUGAUCAUAGUUGCAUAUGUGCAGCAAUUUUAACAACUCAAUUAUAUAGGAUCUGGGAUUUAUGGGAAGGUGUUGAAUGUUUCCUUGCUUGUUCACAUAAGUUGUCUUCUGUAGUUAAGAAAUAGUCAUAUAUGUUAAUGCUAGUAAGUAGCAAAGUUGUCCAUCACAUAUCAUGGAAAGUAGUGAUUUGUUCAAAUUCGGAUAUGCUGCUGUAUUAUAGCUGAUAUGUAACCACCUUUUGUUCCACUUAAAGGAUCUGAGGGUUUGGCUAAGAAGCAUAAUAAAUUGUUGAUGUGAUCAUAGUUGCACUUGUAAUCAUUGUUUUAAAUUGCGAUUGCAGUCGCACUUGUGGUCACGAUGUGAACCUUUACAUUGUGGUGAAAUAUGGACGAUGUGACUAAAAUUGUGUUUGUGAUGCCCUUGUAUAGACCUCAAAAUCCUCUAAAAAGCGGCUGCAAUUGCGAUGUAGUUAUGGAGACAACAAGUUAAAACUAUAUACAUGACUUUAAGAUUAAUAGUUUUUAUGCUGAACAAUUGAUUUUUGUUUUUGUAGGAUGAAUUGGGAAAUGAUUAUGAAGAAGCUGUUAGUGUGGAGUGGGUUGAUAAGUGUUUAAGCCUUACUUUCAAGUGUCCAUGUGGCAAGGGAUAUGAGGUUCUAAUCUGUGCAAACAAUUGUUACUACAAGUUGGUCUAGAAGAAUCAGUAUGCUUAUUUGUGACAUGGAUCACUUUUGUUUAUAUUCUGUUUUAGUUUGGAAAAAGCUUGUCUGUUUUCAUUUGUAGUAGCAUUUGAUUGUCACUAGAAGAACCAAUCUAUAUUUGUAGAUCCUUACAUUUGUUUUGUAAAUAAGUUGGUAUGUACUAUCUCAACAUUCUUAGAAUUAGGAACUGACCAGUUCAUCGGCUGGUUUGACUCCGAUUAUCUUGCAGUCUGGUUUAACCGUUAAACUACGGAUGAACCAAGAUAGAUUUGGCCGAUUUUAAUUUAUAAAACUGGAUUAGCAUUUAUGUCAAUAAUGAAAUUCUUAUUCACAGAUUUUGGGUUUGCGACGUUAUUAUUGACACAGCUUACUACCUUAGCAAAUACAAAACCUAAAUUUACAUGUGUCAACAUAAAACCUCCGCAAAACAUGCUAUGAUGAGCUGCUAAGAAACAAGAAAGACAUGCCCUUAGCAACAGAAAAAACAUGCUAUAUUGAAUUGAAUUCAAUUCUUUGCUAAAUGAAUACUUCCUGCAUAUACAGAAGCAAGUAAGUCAGAAAAAAGAGAGACAAGCAAAUAAGUCAGAUCCCAAAAUGCAUUGACGACGUAUCAACUCUCCAUGUGACACGUCGUAAAUAUUCUAAUGUAGCACCUCUAAGAAGACUCAAAUUGUUCUAGGUGAACACAUUUUUGCAUCCAAUAGUAUUCACUAAUAUUCAUGUGUCAUUUGAGUUACGAUAUAAUAUAGACCGUACGAUGAUUUUUCUAACUUGUAAACAAGACCAGUAUCACCCUGACCAAUGAAGCCAGGUGGCUGCUGCAUAUACAUCGCCUCCAAGACUCCAUGAAAUAAGAUAUUUUUAAUGUCAAGUUGACAAAGGUAAAUGUAUGAUGGCAGCCACUGAUAUUCAUGUGCCAUCUGAAUGAGGAAAUAUUCAUUUUGAUAAUCAAAGGCUCCAAUGAAAUAAAUGUUCAGUACAGAAUCUCUAGACGAUCAUUGAAUGAAAAAUUAAUUUCUCUUUUGAAAAGAAACUGUCCAAUGUUAACAUUUCACUACAAAUGCAAUCUAACAACAUUUUAAUUUCAGUCUGUUAAUGCCUAAAAAAGUUAUAAUUGUUUGGGUCAUCUGAUCUGCAUGUUGCUCCAAAUAAUGCUUCAAAGGCAUUAUCCAAGUCGCAUGAAUAGCACACACUUGUUCUUUGAGUCAUAUUAUUUUAGCCUUCGGAUGACUAAGGUUAAGUUCAAGAAUUUUGCAUAGCUACUUAUAAUUAGCAAAACUGAUUUUGUUAGAGAAAUGUUCAGUUACAGUAUUAAAAUAAGAGAUUAUCUUAUUUUAACAGGCAGAAAGAAAUAACUAUAACUUGUUAUUGAUUUUUAUUUUUUAUUUUUAAGAAGCAGAAAAUUAAGAGUGCGUUUGGAAAUUGAGAUUUCCACGGUGGAGUGGCUUGUUGAUGCACAAUGUAGGCCACUAGACAUUAAUGAACUAAUUGAAGUUGAUCAAUAAUAUAUAUAAUCUGUCUCCUUAAGCUUUGUUUGGGAGUUUGGAACUGGAGGGGAAAAUGGUAAAAUCUUUCACAUUUUUUUAAAGAGUAAUUAUUUUAGAAAAUGAUAAAUGAAUGCUUAUGAUUAAUAUAUUUUUAAUUUUAUGAAUAUUAUAAUUACAUUGAUUAAAUUUGAAGAAUACAUGUAAACCCUCCUCAAUACAUUUUUCGAGUUCCCUCAAAUGAGGAGGAUUUUGUAUUAUGAAGAAAAAUGAACCCCCAAAGUCUUUCCCUUUCAAUAUCAUCCAUUUCAUCAACUUCCUCCUCCCUUUUUUUCCAAACCCCUCCCCUCCCUUCCACUCCAAACUCGCAAACAAAGCCUUAAUCUCCAUGAGAUGGUUCUCUACAGUAUACAAAGAAAGAAUAAAAAUUUGAUUCUGUGGAUAAAACUUAAAAAUUAUUUAAAUUCUGUCCUUAAUAAACUUAUGUUUGGUACUUUUCUUUGGAUCUGAAAAAUAACUUUAGCUCUGCACUGACUGUUCAUAUUAUUUUUACUGUGAAAUUUAUGAAGAUAUACUUUUUUCCUUAGGCAAGCAGAUGGCUUUUUUUACGUGAUGUUCAAAUUGCGGAUUGCUGAAAUUGUAAUUGAUAAAGUAACUGAUCUUACCGUCACUACACAAGAACGAAAUAUGAAAGUUGUUUUUCUUUUGAUUCAGAUAACUAUUUUUCUCUGUUUCCAAUGAGAAGGUAUAAUUUUUACAAGUUAAAAAAUUCCUAUGGUACAAAAUUUCUCUACUAAUCUGUCAGUAUGCUAAAGUGUCAGAUUCAUGGCUCAAUUUAAGCAAGAAGUUACGUGUUGAAAGACGCCUUCAGUGCAAGGAAUGGUGAGGCCACCCAUGGGAUGAUCAUAUCCAAAUUCUUCUUCCGCUUGAUGUAGCAAUUCUUGAAACAAUGGUUGGUUCAAGUAUGAUAUUGGGACAACAAACCGCUUCUGUUUCUCUCCAACAUACACUGCAACAUAGCCCUUUGGAACUUCUGCUGAUUUUAGAGCUGCUUGGCUAGCUGUGAAUGAUGCCCGUCGAAUAACAUUUAAACGGAAACCCAUUUUUGGUGAUUGUUUGAGGGAGAAGAACAAACUCAACAAAGUAAAUAUCUCAAAAAAUUUAGAAGAAUGUAACUAAUACUUGAGGAUGUCAACGACUUGUGUUGUGUUUGAAGCCAAUUUGUAAGUAUAUUUAUAGUUACUGAGAUUCUUUGCAAACCUAAUUCCAAGCUAAAUUAUUUCUUGAAAGAGUUAAAGGAUAAGAUGAUAUACCAUGUGGUGUUGUCUAAACAUUAUACCACCACCCUUUCAAAUUCAACCUCAUAUUUUUUCAUCCAUUAACUAUCACUUCAUAAUUGUGUAAACAUGUUUCAGACAUGUUUUCUUCAUUAUUAAAGUGUUGAUGUCCAUCUUGUAUCGACCUAACGAACGGAUAGACUAAUCUGAAUUAUUUCAAGUGGAUUAACAUGCUUUGUUCAAGGUGGUGCAUUAUCUACCAUGAAAUUAAUUUGAUUUUGACCCAUGUGGAAGUCCUCCAAAACAAUAACAUGUGAUCUUUCAUAUGGACUUGUCUCCCAAAGUUUUCAUGCCUCAUCCAUCUCAUGGCUCUCCUUCAAGUUGCCGACUGUUUGUUACAUAUCCUUUCAUUUGUCUAUAUAUACAAGCAUUUAGGACCAACACGAAAUCACUCACAACCAAAAGCAUUUGAAAUUCAGAAAGUUGAGCCUUCUAUUUACAAACAAGUCUUUCAUUUUUAGAUCAAGCUUCUCUUUUCAACACAUACAUACAACAAUGGGUUUCCGUUUACCAAGUAUCAUCAGAUCAAGGGCAUCAUCUUCAAAAGCUGUGGACGUUCCAAAGGGAUAUCUAGCAGUGUACGUAGGAGAGAAAAUGAAGCGGUUUGUGAUCCCUUUAUCAUACUUAAACCAACCAUCGUUUCAAGAAUUGUUGAACCAAGCUGAAGAACAAUUUGAAUAUGAUCAUCCAAUGGGUGGUCUUACUAUUCCUUGCAAAGAAGACAUUUUCUUAGAUAUUACUUCUCACUUGAAUUGAAUUAUUAGUUCUUUGAAGAUAUCAUAGGACUGACGUAGAUAUCUGACCCAUUUUUUGUAGCAGUUUUAUUCUCACCUUCAAAAGAUUUAAUCUUUUGUUGUUAUCAUACUUGGUUGUAAAAAUGUUCAUCUCAAUGAGAAAUUUAUUAACA